This 20110-nucleotide long non-coding RNA is filed under the name Hordeum vulgare. RNAcentral describes it as "long non-coding RNA (HVUL_LNC010313)". Lineage: Eukaryota; Viridiplantae; Streptophyta; Magnoliopsida; Poales; Poaceae. The record is from RNAcentral.
GAGACUCAAAUAUUUAUCAUGAUUAAUCUAAACAUAAACCCACAAUCUGUCGGAGCCCAACAAACGCACCGCACAAAAGGAAUUACAUCAUGUGGAUCAAAGUGAAGAUUCGAUGAUAAUUUUAUUGAAUAUAAAAGAAAGAUAAAUUGUCAUCAAUGUACUCGCCAUGGACUUGUAGGUCUGUGGUGAACUACUAACACAUCAUCAUCAGGGAAGCAGGGUUGAGGAAGGGGCCCUCCAUGAUCGAUCCUCCUCUAGCAGGGUGCCGGAAUGGAGCUCUAGAUGGACUCCCGUCGGAACAGAGACUUGCGCUGGCGUAAAAACUGUCUUCGGACUCCUUGUGAUGUUUUUAGGGAACAACAAAAUUUAUAAGCCAGAGAACGAAGUCGACAGGGCCACGAGGGAGGCACAAGCCAUUAGGGCACCCCCAAGCUGCGCCCUAUUGGCUUGUGGGCCCCUCUUGCAGCCUCCAGCCUUCUUUCGAUACUCCGCGGUCUUCUUUUGCUCCAAAACAAUCACCAAAAAGUUUUAGGUCAAUUGGGAUUUGUUUGGUAUGGAAAACCUGAAAGGUGAAAAACACGUAGAAAACAACAACUCGCAUUGAGCACUGGGUCAAUAGGUUCGUGAAAAUAAUAAUAUAAAUUGGCUAAUAAAUACCCCAGAAGUAUUCUAGAAUGAUAAUAUAUCAGCACUGAACAAUAAAAAAUUAUAGAUACGUUGGAGACGUAUGAGUGAGUCGGGAUCCAUGUGGCUCAUGGUGCUCCCUCUCUCAAAUAGGAAGGUGUGCUCGUCGCCCCCCUCUGGCUGAGCCCGGGUACGCCAUCAUGGAUGGCAUGAGGCACGCCCGGCCUGCCGAAGAAGGUGAUCGAGCAUAACCAAGUCUCGUGCGAGGGCACAUGGCCCAACAGCAAGCCCCAAGGCACAUAAAUCGUCCGUGAAGCCCCCAGCCCCAGGUGGAUCAUCAGCACCACCCCCAUCUCCAAGCCGCACGGCAGCAGGCACAUGUGCAUGGACUUCGUUUCUCUCAAUACGACUUGCCAUGUGUGGCCCGUCUCUCCUCGAUUCCCACUCAUGCCCAUGCCUUUCUGCAUGAGGAAUGCUGCAACCAUCUCUGCAAGGCUGACGUGCAUGAGCCUGGAGUCCCACAUCUCGGAUGUGGUGUACAAUCGCCAACCCCCUCCCGUGGCCCAAUGAAUGACGGUAGAGGGUGUUCCGUUCUAAACACAUGGAACGCCCUCCAUCAUGAUAAGUUCUAUCUGUGCUCCAUGGUUAUGAGCGAGCUGGGGGUGUACACACCGUGGGGCUCUCUCUAGCCACGCUGCCUUCGACACGUGAGAGCCCCUUCCCACAUUCGUGGAAGCCGCAUGCUCCAUGCUGACGGAACUCUCCUACCCACUUUCGUGUAAGCCUCAUGCUCUGUGCAGGUGGAAAUCUCUUGCCCACUCUCGUGUGAAAGCCCCAUCCUCCGUGCUGGUGGAGAUCUCCUACCCACUCUCGUGUGGAAGCCCCAUGCUCAUGCUGGUGGAAAUCUCCUACCCACUCUCAUGUGGAAGCCGCAUGCUCUAUGAUGCUGGAAAUCUCCUACCCACUAUCGUGUGGAAGCCCCAUGCUCAGCGCUGGCGGAAUCCCCAUGCUCAGACAUGGCGUACUUUUUGAUAUGAUGGCACUUUUCGCCGAAUACAAACAUCACACCAACCCGUUUCGAAUAUGGCAGCAUGUAUGUUUUGCUAUGUAAUAAACCAGUUUCAUGCAUCAUUAGAACUUGUUUUUGCCAAACACCUUGUGUGCCGGCAGGUGGUAUGCUUCAAGUGAGGUGUGUGCUUAUGGUAUCCCCCUUGUCUGUCACACGGGCGGGGGCUGGGCACGGUGUCAGUGCUCAGGUUAGUCCAUGCAACACUGCAAAACCCAAGCGACUAAGCUCUGGCUCGCGGGCCUGUUUGCAUGUACGCCACCUCAUGAGGUACUUGGUGCUCUUACCUCCCCGCUUGACACCCUCGGGCGACCCAGCGAGCACGCCCCGCGAUGCCGCCUGGCAGUUUCUUUUCCUUGGUGCACGGCUUUUGGUGGGGCCUCAAGAGCUCCCCCAGGAAGGCUCGUGAGCGGCGGCCUGUGGGAGGAAGGAUUCAUGAGGAGCCACAAGCCCUAAAGAAGCUAAGUAUAAUCAUGCCAAUCGGGCUUACCCUCCUCUCACUCUUUCCCUAAGCGUCCAAUUUUCCUCUGUACGUGGUGUGUGAACAUCAAGGGGGGCUUGGGCAUCGUGCCCCGAGAUCUCCUACCGGCCCUACGAGCCCUACACCCUUUGGCCUUGCUGAGCCCUUGAUUCACGCAUACCAGCGAUGGUGUAGCCCAUCUCACUGGUUGGGUCCCAGCAACUCGGGCACAAGGUAUCGGUGUUAAAACCGGGCGAUCUCUGGUAGGGGGUCUCGAACUGUGGACCUUGGAUCGAUGGGUUGCAGGAAGAGGGGGUAGACAACGGUUUACCUAGGUUCGAGCCUUCCUAUUGUGGUAAUACCCUACGUCCUACUUGAUUGUACUGAUGAAGAUGAUUACAGAGUAGAUCUACCUCGUGAUCACAUAUGCUAAACCCUAGGUGAUUCAACAUCCUCUACACGAAUAAGAGUCCGUGGUUUAUAUUGACACCACAGUCCCUAGGAUUUAAAAGUUACCGACUAUAAUCGAAGAUAGAUGAGCCAACGUAUUCUUCCUAAGCUUGAAGUACACGCCAAUAUUCGGGAUAUUCCUUCUAGAGUAGAGGUCCUCAUCAGGCCCAGUCUUCUUCAGUGUGGCCCAAUGGGCUCACCCAAUAUUGACUAACCUGCCGCCCGAGGACCCCAGAAUCCCGGAGUCCCUCAGUAACCCCCGAACUAGCCUUCAACACCGUGUUCAGUCUUCAGUUGCCCCUCAUAUCGAUAGUAAUCAGAUUGCAAGGUGAGUUCCGCCCGUGCUUGGCUGACUUUGAUUUGUUCGCGUCACUAACCUGCACAUUAUUAAAACUGACAUCUUCUAUUUUUAACUAAGGCAUUUAAACUCCCAUGUGUGAAUAGCCCCUCAAUUGGGAGGCUUUCCUGACGAAAGGUCGCAUAUAACCGUUGCUUGGGGCCAUGUUUCAAGGGACAUGCCCUCUCGAGGAGAUCGUGCCUCUUCAUUUAUUGGGAUAGGAAUAACUGCACAGGCUUACCCACAUGCACAACGGCUCGAUAAUUUUUCAGAGGUGGGUGGCGGAGCAACCGGCGCAGUAAAAGGGACCCUUGGUAUUACAGUCCCUUAUAAAAAGGAACAAAGAUCCAAAGGUUUCUACCACUUGCAUCGUCGGCUUAUCUCUUGCCUCCUCCAAGCUCGAGCACCUAGAUCCAAUCCUUUUUCCUCUCUCUUUUUUCUUCGCCGUCUUAGAGCCCACACCAAGGCCGACUCUCAUGGCAAGUGCGAGGUGUCGACCAUCUCUGACGUUGACAUCCAGGAGCUCAAGCGCUUCGGAUACCUUACCUGUGACAUCGCCCACCGGGCGGUAGAGGCAAGCUAGGUGAUCCCGACUCCAAGGCCGGGUGAGAGGGUAGUGUUCAUUCCCCAUUUCCCUCGGGGUCUAGGCUUUCCCCUUCACCCUUCCUUCAGGGGUCCUAUGUUCUAUUGGAACGGGUUGGAUUUCCAUCAUCUCCCUCACAACUCCAUUAUGCACAUUACGUCCUUCAUCAUAGUGUGCGAAGCAUUCUUGCGGGUUCACCCGCAUUUCGGGCUUUGGCUUAAGAUGUUCAGUGUCAACCCAAAGUCCGUGAGCAGCCAGCACGUUGAUUGUGGCGGGGCGGUGAUAAGCAAGCUCUACAAGGUGAUAUGGCCAGAGGACACCAUGAUAGAUACUAUCAAGGAAUGGCAUAAGGAGUGGUUCUACAUCACCGAACCACAGGAGGCGAACUGGGCGGCGCCUGCCGAUUUCAAGUCUGGCCCUCCAGAGAGGCUCACCUCCUGGGUCAAGAAAAACAUGGACUCGGGAUUUGCUAGGGAUGUGAAGGUGAUGCAAAAAUGCAUCAAGUAGAUGGGGGAUGUGAACAUCCAAAUGACCGAUGUGAUCCAAGUCGCUCUACAUCGGCGCAUCCUACCGUGUCAGCACUGGGCUAAUCCGAUGUGGGUUUACAAGCCCGAUGAACCCAAGGUCAAAAAGGAGUUCUUCUGUAUGACCCAUGAGGACAUAUGGCAGGCUUUGUUCAAGUCCCAACAAGUGUGCCCAACCAAGGACGAAGGCACAAGCCUGGACAAUAGGACCCCUCUAGUCGAGGUAUGUUCGAAUGUUAUUCCUAUCCUAAAGUUCUGAUCUCCUUUACAGAGAUCUCACCUCUCCCCUAAAUGGUUUUGCCACGAGAGGUUGGCCAUAGCCAAGAACAUGGACGAACCUGCUCCUCUACAUGAAGAUCCAAUGUCAGGGUUGUUGGCCACAAUGUUGGUUCCAAAGCCGUACAAGGCACGGGAGCCGAAGAAGAAGGAGACAUGCGAAGGUUUCCGUUCCUAGGGUCCCCUGGACACUAAGUCUGAGGCCACACGUGUUCCCUCUACUCUUGAGUUGGAGGAGGUGGAAGAGGAGGAUGAUAUGGACUCCUCCCAGUCCAAGAAGAGAGCACCACAAGAGGAGGAGAAAGAAGUCGUGCCUCCUAGGGCCCCAAAGAGGCCUUGCAAAGGCAAGGCGCUUCUCUUGGCACGUGUCCGGAUUUUGACGACGAGAUCGGGGAGUUCGAGGUGGUUCCCUACCUAGCCCCCAGGGUCAAACCCCUGGCCCGAAGGUACGAGCUUUGAUGACUUUAUUGAGUGAACAUAUAUCGAACCCUAUACUAAUUGGUCGACAUGUAUUUUUUUUGCUCAUUACAGCCCCGUCCGAGAUCUGCCAACAGAUCAAGUCCCAGAGGAUGAUUCACUGCCAGCCGAGAUGGCGGACAGUGGGAAUGCAUCCCGCACCUCCCUUCCCCAAGCCUCUAAGGAGGCCAUGGAGGUGGCUUCCCACCUGACCUCGCUUAAUGCGGGAGGCGAAGAGGUGAUCGCCGAGGUGAAUACCUCGGAAGUUCAGGACCGAGAGGUCCCGGUCAUCGAAGAUGCACCUGCGACCAUGAGUCGGGAGGCUCUGAUUGAGGCCAAUUCCCCGGUCAAUACUACACGAGAGAUCAGCCCUUCAUAAGGUGGAAAGGAGGGUCAAAAUUCAACUGAGCUCCCUCCAACGUCUUUGGAACCACCCUUGGUGUCGGCCGUGCUAGAACGGGCCACGGUCGGGGGGUCGGUAGUGAUGGAGGAGAUCCUAGCGGAUUCCUCCAUUGCUAAAGAACAACGCAUCUUAAUGGGUGUGGUUUUGCGGAGCAUUCAGUGUGUUAACAACGGACUGAAUGAAGCAUUUACAUCCUUAUCGACGGGCUUUAAGGUAAACCGCCCACUUUACUAGUAUUGUAUUAUAUUUGAAAUAUUUUUUUACUGGUAUGACAACCCCCGAGCGAGGGGGAGUUUGCAAAGCUAACUCGUGGCUCAGAGAAAUGCACAAAAAAUGUCCAACAAUGAUGCCUAGAAUACUUAUUUUAAGAAACUUGACCAAGUAGAGUAGGUUAAAUAGGUUGAAAUCAUUCUAACGGAUUGUGCAUCUUGCACGCCUCGUCAUCGUCUGCCAAUUCUAACACAUUGGAAAUAGCCGAACUCAGUCGGAAAUUGCAAGUGUCCGGCGAAGAGCUUGACCACCUCAAUGGUCGGUUUGACGAGAAGUAGGGUGAGUUUGUAUAAGAGUACCCCAUUUUAAUUAUAUCUGAUGGAAUGCCCUGGCCCUCCAAUCUGACCUUUGUCAUUUUCUCUUUGAUCAGUAGCUCAAGAUAAAGAGCUUGAAAAGCUCCUGGCCGAGGUGGAGAGAUCCAAACGAGAGGCCAUUUCCUACAAGGCAGUCGCCAAAUAGGCAGCAGACGAGCUGGACGCCCUGAAGGCCGUGAGCAAGAAAUAUGAGGCUAGGGUGACGAUGGUCCAGCAAGAGCUGGAGGAGGCGAGUCUGAAGUGCGAGGCCUUUGAGAAAAAAGUCAAAGAUCAAGCCACCGAGCAGACCAAGCUAUCCGCCGAGCUCCAAUCAUAGCAGGUAGAACGGCUAUUCUUUGAAGAAGAAGUGCGCCAGGUCAAGCUGAUGGCAACCGGUAAGCCAUACUUAAUGCAGUGUGCCUUUGGUGAGAACCAAUUUGCCUUUCUUAUUCGGAUAUGGUGUUCUGCACACGCCUUCACCAACCUCCUACAGAAUGCAACAAAUGCGGCCAAUUACUUUGCUGCUCAUGACGGGGAUGCCGAGCAACGACUAUUCUAGGCUGAAUUUCAGGCCCCUAAGGCUAACCCUAGUCCAAGCUACCAAAUGAAGCAACUCCUUGAACUACAUAGGAUCGCCCAGCCGGCUAUGAUAGACAUGUAUAUUCGGUUGUGUCCUACCGAGCCCUUGCCGAGUAGCUACUUUGCCUUGGUGCGGCAACUAAUUGAAGUCACACCUCAGAUUGAAGACCUGCAACGCUCAACAUGUAUAGAGGGGGCUCGGAUGGCCUUCGCCCAGACGAUGGUGCACUUCCCAGGGAUGAGGCCACUCAAGAUGGCUACUACCCGCUACCUACUGGAAAUGAGCACACGUGCCACGAGUUGUACGUUACUUCUUCCAUCGAGGGUGCUCGGGCGAUCAAAUCGCAAUUGUCAAAGGAUGUGCUAUGAGAAUAGGUUUAUGUUGAUGCAAACGAGAACGAUCUGCUUAAAGCAGUAUAUGUCCAAAGGUAAUUAUGUAUUAUAUUAUUUUGAUUCAUGUUUGUAGCCGUUUAACCUGAAAGUUUCUAGUCGUCUGCUUGAGCCCCCAUGUAGAUACUACUUGGGGUGUUCCAUCGUUCGUACACAUCCCUUAGCCGAUUUAGUCGGUGCCCAAAGGUGGUACUAUAGAAUGGAAACGACGCAAUCAAACUACGAGGGUUUAUCGCUUUCACUUAGCCUUAGGAAUGCUUGUAAUGUGGGGGCUAAUGACAAGCCCCCAGCCCUUGUUGCCGUAGUUGGAAAAACCGAAGAUCGGAAUGACUACCGCGGGGUUUGUUGAAUUGCAAACCCGUCCGUAUAACACGGGGUAGCCUCUAUCGAGUAUAUAAACAAUCUUAGAUUGCAGACCAGUUCUCGCUCAUUAUGAUGGUCAGUUUUUGGCUUUCUCCACCGAGGUAUUUCAAUACCAGGGAAGCUGGGAAUACAAUCGCAGUGGUUCUCCCUUUACCCCUUUAGCCGAAUUAGCGGAACGUAAGGGGGUAAGCACAGCGGGCAAUCCAACUGUAGACCCAAGACAUAAUUCAGAACCGAUGCAUAUAAUGCAAAAUGCUAAGAGAUUGAACACAUGUAUAAGAGUGAUGGUGAGGUACUCGGGGGCGGUUAGUGUAACCUAGCCACCGGUUAGUAGCCACACACAUUCUUUUUUUUCUAUUUUAGCAAUCAAAAAAUGAGUUUGUCUUGUCAGCGCCAUGCAGCGGAAAAACAUGAGUAAGAAUAAAUACAUUAAAAGAAAAGCAUAUGUGAUAGAUAUUGGCGAAGAAUUUUUACCAUUCUCGGCUCUAGGGCCGCUGUGUACAGGAAACUAUCAAAAUUAAGCAACACCUCCCUUUCAGACAUUUUACGAGCAACUUGACGUACAUCUGGCUUUUGGCCUUUCAAUCAAGGAGCAAGUUGAAACAGUAGGGGAGGGAGCUUUUUCCUUGAAAGUUUGUUGCAGAUGGUAGAAGGACUUUCAAUCAAGGAGCCAUGAGAAGCCGCCGAUGGAAUAUAGCUUGAUGCUUGGGAGGAUCUUUAUGGUAUCCCAUGUGUAUCCGGGAAGAAUUUCGCACCAUAGUUUGGUCUAGCCGAGCAUAUGGUGCUUGUUCAGAUCUCCCACACCAUCCCAUGAUAUGCGGAGAACGGAAAAUGUGUAUUAUGAGAGAUAUAGCUUAAAGGUGCUUGGGAGAUGCUAUGGGAGGGGUGGUCUUAUGUGUUCGGGGACGAGGAGUUCUCCACGGGACCCGAUUGCGCUUGGGAUCACUUACCUACUUGUUGCGGCUUAGCCGGCUUGUGACUUGAUAGUUCACCAUCAUGUUCGCCUUCCGCUGCCAAGGUAGUGGUGUGUUCUUUGGUCCAGAGAGAUCGUUCUGUAUUGCCAUUGACGGUGAUGACUCCUAGGAGUUCGGGCAUAUUCAGCUUGAGAUAAGAGUAGUGGGGCACCACGUUGAAUCGGCCGAAGGCGAUGCUGCCGAGCAGUGCGUGGUACCCGCUGCAAAAGGGGACGAUGUCGAAGAUCAAGUAUUUGCCACGGAAUUUAUCGGGUUAUCCGAACACGACUUCCAGCGUUAUGGUUCCCGAGCAGCGAGCCCUCACAUCUAGAAUAACUCCUUUAAAGGUAGUGUUGCUUGGUUCUAUUCUUGAUGGGUCAAUGCCAAUCUUUUUCACCAUAUCUGCGUAAAUCGGAUUAAGCCUACUUCCAUCAUCCAUGAGGACUCUCGUGAGGUGGUACCCAUCUAUAAUGGGGUCGAGGACGACAGCGGCCGACCCUCCAUGAUGGAUGCUGGUCGGAUGGUCCCUGCGGUCGAAUGUGAUCGGACAAGCCGACCAUGUGUUUUAGAAUGGUGCUACAGGAUCUACGGCAUAGACUUCUGGGAGGGCUUGCUUCCGCUCCUUCUUGGGUAUGUCAGUCACAUAAAUCAUGUUUACUGUUUUUACUUUGGGAGGGAAAUGUUUUUGGCCCCAGUUGUGCGGGCCAUGGGACUCCUCGUCGUCUUCACUUUGAGGGAUCCAGCCUUGUUCUUCGGUCGCUCCUUUGCCGGCUUGCUUGAAUACCCAACAGUUAUGGUUGGUGUGAGUGGCUGGUUUAUCUUGAGUGUCGUGGAUUUGACAAGUCGUUCCAUAAUUUUUCCCAUUAGGUUGGUCCGUCUUUAUUCCCUUUGAAGGGUUUCUGAAGCUGUCCUGGCUUGGAACUGCGGAACCCAGCACUAACUGUUGUGUCAACGGCAUCGCUUGUGCGAAGGCGGCACUGUUCUUUUUUCCCUCAGCUUACCGUUCCUGUCCCGAGCUUGAGAGGUUCUAGGAUCGUUCAACUUGUGGUUGUGCCGAGGUAGAAGUUGUCUUCGCCCGCGCAAAACCGUGUCAUGAGGGAAGUGAGGGCAGACAUUUUCCUUGACCUGUCCUAUCCGAGCUAGCAAGCCAACCACUCGUCCCGGAUGUUCUGCCUGAAAGAGGACGUGUCUUCGGAGUGUGGGCAAUCCACGAUUUGGUUUUUCUUCAUUAAGAACCGGUUCUAGAACUCUUUGGCCGACUUGCAUGCCUUCUAGAUGACAUUUCUUAGGUCGGAGGAAUCCAGUAGUCGGACGUAGGUCCCGUGGAAGUUGGAUAGGAAGGCUUCUUCGAGCUCUUCCCAGCUUCUGAUCGAUUCCUUGGGCAGGCUGUUUAACCAGAACUGUGCUAGCCGUUUCAACUUGAGGGGCAAGUACUUGAUGGUGUGGGGAUCGUCUCCUCUCGCCAUGUGAAUGUGGAGAAGGAAAUAUUCUAUCCACACCGCAGGAUCCGUGGUUCCGUCAUACUGUUCUAUGUUGAUGGGAUUGAAUCCCUCCGGAAAUAGAUGAUGCAUUACUUCGUCUGUGAAGCAUAGUGGAUGUGCGGCGCCUCUAGUCCGGACUAUCUUGUGACAAGAUCAGCUUUGGGUUGAGUCCAGUAUGAAUCCUGAUGUCUAGCGUAGUAGGGGACUUGAGGUGGCUCUCCGUCCCAUCUAGUGUGGGAGUACUUUCUUGACCCAUAAAUGGAUCUGUUGCGGCCCGUCUUGUUAUCCAGGUUGCAUCGCAGCUCGUUUCUGCCACAAGGGUGUGCUUUCUCCUCCACCUUUCCACGGGGCAGCCUGGGGUAAUAUUUGGCGUCCGACGCCACCCUGUCGCGCCCUUGAGGCACGCGGUCAGGCUGGUCAUAAUAUGUUUGCUUUGGGGAUGCGGGCCUUGGGGCCUUGUCAUCUAAUUAUGGCAAUAGUCGGCGACAUGGGUAACUUUCUUCUGAUCCAGCCAUCCAGGGUCGUGCUCUUCUUCGGUAGCUAGUACCUUGGUCCACCUUCUGUUUAUAGUGUCGUCUUCGGCUUCGAGUUGACGCUCCUUUGCCUUUAAGCUUCGAGCGGUAGCUAGGAUCAGCUUCCAAAAUUUAUCUUGACCUCCAAGGUCAUCGGGUAUUGUGAAGUCUUCGUCCUCCGGGUAGUCGUUGACGGGGGGGUGAUAAUGAUCGUCGUUCGACCUGUUGAUGUCGUCAGGUUUGUCCUGCUCCUCAGGUUGGUCCGCAUCCUCGAGCGGAUGUUCUGGUAUACCAGGGUUGUCGUGGUCUUCUGGGGUUUUAUUUUCCCCGGUGCCUUGUGCAAAGACUUUUCCCUGCGCCUUAGCACGCUUACGCUGCUUUCGGCGCUUUCAUUUCUCCUCCCCAGAUUUGUCAUCGUUUGGCUGAGGGGGACGUCGCCAUUUUUAUCACGCGUGUCCACCAUAUAGACGUCAUAAGUGGAGCUUGCGGUACAUCGCCCUAUGUUUGUGGGAGUGGGUUCUUCAGCCUCAUCAUCGAUGCCCUCAAGCUCCUUGGAGCCGUAGUCUAAUGUGUCGGUUAAGUCUUCAACGGUUGCGACCAAGUGGGUGGUGGGCGGGCCGUAAAAGUCCCCAUAUUUCGAGUUGUACUGUGAGCAGUUCGAGCUAGUUGAGAUGUGCAACGAUUGGAUCCGACCGAGCAUCCCGCUUAACACCGAGAGCUCAUCCUGAUGCAUCAUCGGAUGGUCUUCAGAGUUAGUUGAUACGUCUCCAACGUAUCUAUAAUUUUUGAUGGGUUCAUGUUAUUAUCUUGUCAAACUUUGGAUGUUUUGUAUGCCUUUUAUAUCUUUUUUGGGACUAACUUAUUAACUCAGUGCCAAGUGCCAGUUCCUAUUUUUUCCAUGUUUUUGACCCUUUUCAGAGGAGGAUUUUAAACGGAGUCCAAAAGGAACGAAACUUCCAAAAAGAUUUUUUCCGAAACAGAAGACGACCGGGGGACUUGAGAACCAAGGCCGGGGGCCACCAGGGACACCACAAGCCCCCUAGCCGCGGCCAGGGGGCCCGCGCCUACCAGGCUUGUGGGCUCCCUGGGCCACCUCUGCCCUAGGUCUUCCGCCUAUAUAUUCCCAAAAAUUCGAGAAAAAAUCAGGAGAUCAUCGAAAGUACUUUUCCGCCGCCCCAAGCUUCUGUCUCCGCAAGAUCCCAUCUGGGGCACGUUCUGGUGCCCUGCCGGAGAGGGGAUUCGGAUACGGAGGGCUUCUUCAUCAACACCAUGACCUCUCCGAUGAUGCGUGAGUAGUUCACCAUAGACCUACGGGUCCAUAGCUAGUACCUAGAUGGCUUCUUCUCUCUCUUGGAUCUUCAAUACAAAGUUCUCCAUGAUCUUCGUGGAGAUCUUCCCAAUGUAAUCUUCUUUUGUGGUGUGUUUUUCGAGAUCCGAUGAAUUGUGGAUUUAUGAUCAGAUUAUCUAUGAAUCUUAUUUGAGUUUCUUCUGAUAUCUUAUAUGCAUGAUUUCAUAUCCUUGUAAUUCUCUUCGAGUUUUGGGUUUUGUUUGGCCAGCUUCAUCUAUGAUUAUUGCAAUGGGAGAAGUGCUUGGUUUUGGGUUCAUACUGUGCGGUGACCUCACCAACUGACAGAAGGGGUACCGAGGCACGCAUCAUGUUGUUGCCAUCAAGGGUAAAAAGAUGGGGUUUUCAUCAUUGGUUUGAGUUUAUCCCUCUACAUCUUGUCAUCUUGCUUCAGGCGUUACUCUGUUCGUCAUGAACUCAAUACACUAGAUGCAUGUUGGAUAGCGGUCGAUGUGUGGAGUAAUAGUAGUAGAUGUAGAAAGUAUCGGUCUACUUGUCUCGAACGUGAUGCCCAUAUGUAUGAUCAUUGCCUUAGAUAUCGUCAUGACUUUGCGCGGUUCUAUCAAUUGCUCGACAGUAAUUUGUUCACCCACCGUAAUAUUUGCUAUUUUUAGAGAAGCCUCUAGUGAACACUAUGGCCCCUGGGUCUACUUCACACCAUAUUUUCAGUCUUACCCUUUUACUUCGUUGCACUUUCCGCCUUCAGAUCUCACUUUGCGAUCAAUCUUGAAGGGAUUGACAACCCCUUUAUAGCGUUGGGUGCAAGAUCGUUUGUGUUUGCGCAGGUACUCUGGACUUGACGAGAUUCUCCUACUGGAUUGAUACCUUGGUUCUCAAACUGAGGGAAAUACUUACUGCUCCUAUGCUGCAUCACCCUUUCCUCUUCAAGGGAAAAACCAACGCAAGCAAGUCUCCGUCAACCUGUCAAUUUCUGGCGUUGUUGUUUGAGAAGUAGCAGAAGGAUUUCCGGUGCCGUUGCCGGGGAGGAUCAAAUCAAGAACUCAUCCAAGUAAGUUUCGCAAACUCAUCUCUUGCAUUCUAUUUUUUGCCUCUCGUUUUCCUCUCCCCCACUUGUGAAAAACAAAAAUUUACAAAAAUAUUUGCCUUUUUCAUUCGCCCUUUUCUCUCGCUUGCUUUCUGUUCGCUUGUGUGCUAUGUGCCUUCAAUAUGCUUGCAUCUUCGCUUGCUGAAAAUCUAGUGAUAUGGAUCUUCACCCACUUGCUAAUCUCUUUAAGAGAUCCACUUAUGUGGAACCAAUUGCUAGUGAGUUGAGUGCACUUGACUUUCUCUAUGGAGUUUUGCUUGAGAUGCGUGAAUCUGAAAAUCGUGUUGAAGAAAUCUAUGAAAUGAUUCACGAGGGCUCCUUGAAUGAAAAGCAUGAUAGCAAUGAUUUCAUUAUAAAUUCUAUUAGUGACAAUCAUGCUAAAAAUAUGCAAAACCCUAAGCUUGGGGAUGCUAGUUUUGCUAUGUCCACUACUUGUAGCAAUGCUAUUUGCAAUAAUAUUGAAAGUGGGUUUGGAGAAGUCAUGACUUUAGUUGAUGAAUAUCCCACUAUUUUUGAAGAGCGUCAACUUUGCAUGCAUCUGGAUCAUGAAAAGAAUAUCCUUUGUGAUAGCUAUUUUGUUUAAUUUGAUUAUGAUCCCACAUGUAAUUGCUAUGAGAGAGGAAAAUUGUGGUAGAAACUUUUAUGUUACCAAUUUACCUCUCGUUAUGUGGAGAUUGCUAUUGUCUCUUUCUUCUUCCUUGCAUAUGGCAACUAUUGGUUGUCUUGACAAUCUGUUUUCCUAUAAAAUGCCUAUGCAUAGGAAGUAUGUUAGACUUAGAUGUGAUUUUCACAUGCUUUAUGAUGCUCUCGUUGUGCUUCAAUUCUUGUCUUUUGUGUGAGCAUCAUUGAUUUAUCAAUGCCUAGCUAAGGGCCUUAAACAAAAGCGCUUGUUGGGAGGCAACCCAAUGAGUUUAUCUUUUUCUUUCUGUUUUGUUGCGUCCACACCAUCAUAAUUCUGUUAUGAUAGUGUAUUUUGUGUUUCUUUUUGUGUUUGAGCCAAGCAAAACCUUUAUGACUAGUCUUGGUGAUGGUUGUUUGAUCCUCCUGGAAAAAGACAAAAACUUUUCGCUCACGAGAUUAUUUUCAUUUUUAUUCAGAAAGAGCUUUUGAGUUGAUUAUUUUUUCUGCUGGUUGAUAUUCCUUUUGCCCAGGCAGUCGUAAUUUUUCAGAAUUUGUGAGGUAACACAAGUAUACGAAGUAUACAGAUUGCUACAGACUGGUCUGUUUUUGACAGAUUCUGCUUUUGUUGAGUUGGUUGCUUGUUUUGAUGAAACUAUGGAUAGUAUCAGGGUACUAGCCAUGGAAAAGUGAGAAUACAGUAAUCUAACACCAAUAUAAAUAGAAAUCAAGAUUGUUACAGUACCUAAAGAGGUGGUAGUUUGUUUUCUUGUGCUAAUGAUAUCACGAGUUUCUGUUUAAGUUUUGUGUUGUGAAGUUUUCAAGUUUUGGGUGAUGUUCUCAUGGACAAAGAGAUAAGGAGUGGAAAUAUCUCAAGCUUGGGGAUGCCCAAGGCAUCCCAAGCCAAAUUCAAGGACACCAAAAAUCCUAAGCUUGGGAAUGCCCCGGGAAGGCAUCCCCUCUUUCGUCUUCAAUCCAUCGGUAACAUUACUUGGAGCUAUAUUUUCAUUCACCACAUGAUAUGUGUUUUGCUUGGAGCGUCUUGUAUCGUAUGAGUCUUUAUUUUUGUUGUGUCAUCCUUGCUGCACACCUUUUCAGAGAGACAUGCACUCAUCGUGAUUUUUCUAGAAUGCUCAUCAUGCUUCACUUAUAUCUUUUGAGCUAGAGAAUUUUCCUCUAUGUGCUUCACUUAGAUCUUUUAGAGCACGGCGGUGCGUGACUUGGUAGUUGGCUUGUGCUAUGAAAGUAGUCCCAAAGGUGAUAGAUACCCGAAGAGGAUAGAAAAACCUGCAUCUUCAUGUGUAUUGAAUAGAAAGAGAAGUUUUGAUUCAUCUCAAUUAGUUUUGAGACGUGGAUUUGGUAAUAUUAAGAGCUAUGUUAGUAGGGUGUUGUGAAUCUAGAAAUACUUGUGUUGAAGUUAGUGAUUCCCGUAGCAUGCACGUAUGGUGAACCACUAUGUUAGGAAGUCGGAGCAUAAUUGAUCUGUUGAUUGUCAUCCUUUGUGUUACGGUCGGGAUCGCGCGAUGGUUAACACCUACCAACCCUUCCCCUAGGAGUAUGCGUUUAGCACUUUGUUUGGAUUACUAACAAAACUUUCGCAACAAGUAUGUGAGUUCUUCAUGACUAAUGUGAGUCUAUGCUAUAGAUGCACUUUCGCCUUCCACCAUUGUUAUCCUCUCUAGUGCCGCGCAAUUUUCGUCGGUGCACAAACCCACCAUAUGCCUUCCUAAAAACAGCCACCAUACCUACCUACUAUGGCAUUUUCAUAGCCAUUCCGAGAUAUAUUGCCAUGCAACUCCCACCGUUCCGUCUCAUGACUUGUGCCGUCACUCUCAUAUUGCCAUUUCAUGAUCGUAAGAUAGCUAGCGAGAUAUUUCAACGUCAUACGCCAAGCUAGAUCGUUGCACAUCUCGGUACACUGCCGGAGGCAUUUCCUAUAUAUAGAGUCAUCAUCGUUCUGAGCUUUGACCUGUGAGUAAAUAAAAGUGUGAUGAUCAUCAUUAUUAGAGCAUUGUCCCAUGUGAGGAAAUAAAAAAACAAAAAGAGGCCAAAGAGCCCAAAUAAAAAAAGAGAAAACAAAAAAGAGAAAAAAGAGGCCCAAGAGCCCAAAUAAAAAAAGAGAAAAAGAGAGAAGGGACAAUGCUACUAUCUUUUUCCACACUUGUGCUUCAUAAUAGCACCAUGUUCUUCAUGAUUUUGAGCCUCUCCUUUUGUCACCACCAUAUGCUAGUGGGAAUAUUUAUUAUAUAAGUUGGCUUGUAUAUUCCAAUGAUGGGCUUCCUCAAAAUUUCCCUAGGUCUUCGUGAGCAAGCAAGUUGGAUGCACACCCACUAGUUCUCCUUUUGAGCUUUCACAUACUUAUAGCUCUAGUGCAUCUUUUGUAUGGCAAUCCCUACUCAUUCACAUUGAUAUCUAUUAAUGGGCAUCUCCAUAGCCCUUUGAUACGCCGAGUCAAUGUGACCAUCUCCUCCCUUUUUGUCUCACAACCACCACCACACUCUAUUCCACCUAUAGUGUUAUAUCCAUGGCUCACGCUCAUGUAUUGUGUGAUAGUUAUAAAAAGUUUGAGGAAGUAAGAGUGCGAAAACAAUUACUUGGCCAAUACCGGGGUUGUGCAUGAUUUAAAUUAGUUGUGUGAGGAUGAUGGAGCAUAGCCAGACUAUAUGAUUUUGUAGGGAUAACCUCCUUUGGCCUUGUUAUUUCGAAAGUUCAUGAUUACCUUGCUAGUUUGCUUGAAGUAUUAUUGUUUUCAUGUCAAUAGCAAACUAUUGUUUUGAAUCUUACGGAUCUAAAUAUUCAUGUCACACGAAAGAAGUUACAAAGGACAACUAUGCUAGGUAGCAUUCCACGUCAAAAAUUCAGUCUUUAUCACUUCCCUACUCGAGGACGAGCAGGAGUUAAGCUUGGGGAUGCUUGAUACGUCUCCAACGUAUCUAUAAUUUUUGAUGGUUUCAUGCUAUUAUCUUGUCAAACUUUGGAUGUUUUGUAUUCCUUUUAUAUCUUUUUGGGGCUAACUUAUUAACUCAGUGCCAAGUGCCAGUUCCUGUUUUUUCCGUGUCUUUUCAGAGGAGGAUUUUAAACGGAGUACAAACGGAACGAAACUUCCAAAAAGAUUUUUUCUGAAAUAGAACACGAUCGGGGGACUUGAGAACCAAGGCAGGGGGCCACCAGGGACCCCACAAGCCCCCUAGCCGCGGCCAAGGGGGCCCGCGCCUCCAAGGCUUGUGGGAUCUCUGGGUCACCUCUGCCCUAGGUCUUUCGCCUAUAUAUUCCCAAAAAUUCCAGAAAAAUCAGGAGAUCAUCGAAAGUACUUUUCCGCCGCCGCAAGCUUCUGUCUCCGCAAGAUCCCAUCUGGGGCACGUUCUGGUGCCUUGCCGGAGAGGGGGAUUCUGAUAUGGAGGGCUUCUUCAUCAACACCAUGACCUAUCCGAUGUUGCGUGAAUAGUUCACCAUAGCCUACGGGUCCAUAACUAGUAGCUAGAUGGCUUCUUCUCUCUCUUGGAUCUUCAAUACAAAGUUCUCCAUGAUCUUCAUGGAGAUCUAUCCGAUGUAAUCUUCUUUCGCGGUGUGUUUGUCUAGAUCCGCUGAAUUUUGUAUUUAUGAUCUGAUUAUCUAUGAAUCUUAUUUGAGUUUCUUCUGAUAUCUUAUAUGCAUUCUUUCAUAUCCUUGUAAUUCUCUUCGAGUUGUGGGUUUUGUUUGGCUAGCUUGAUCUAUGAUUCUUGCAAUGGGAUAAGUGCUUGGUUUUGGGUUCAUACUGUGCGGUGACCUCACCAACUGACAGAAGGGGUACCGAGGCACGCAUCAUGUUGUUGCCAUCAAGGGUAAAAAGAUGGGGUUUUCAUCAUUGGUUUGAGUUUAUCCUUCUACAUCAUGUCAUCUUGCUUAAGGCGUUACUCUGUUCGUCAUGAACUCAAUACACUAGAUGCAUGCUGGAUAGCGGUCGAUGUGUGUAGUAAUAGUAGUAGAUGCAGAAAGUAUCGGUCUACUUGUCUCCGACGUGAUGCCUAUAUGUAUGAUCAUUGCCUUAGAUAUCAUCAUGACUUUGCGCGGUUCUAUCAAUUGCUCGACAGUAAUUUUAUCACCCACCGUAAUAUUUUCUAUUUUGAGAGAAGCCUCUAGUGAACACUAUGGCCCCCGGGUCUACUUCACACCAUAUUUUCAGCCUUACUCUUUUACUUCGUUGCACUUUCCGCCUUCAGAUCUCACUUUGCAAUCAAUUUUGAAGGGAUUGACAACCUCUUUAUAGCGUUGGGUGCAUGCUCGUUUGUGUUUGCGCAGGUACUCUGGACUUGACGAGAUUCUCCUACUGGAUUGAUACCUUGGUUCUCAAACUGAGGGAAAUACUUGCUGCUCCUAUGCUGCAUCACCCUUUCCUCUUCAAGGGAAAAACCAACGCAAGCAAGUCUCCGUCAAUGUGUCAAUUUGUGGCGCUGUUGUUUGAGAAGUAGCAUUAGCCUCCGGGCCCGCCGUAAGGGAGGCGUGUUUGGUCAGAGCCGUUUGCUGUGAUACCGGCGUCCAGGUUAGGUCCGAUCUAGGGGACGACUCUUUGAAAGAGAGGGAUACGAGGACAUAGUCGGACGUGAUACCCGAAGUUAAAGCUUCGGGGUUUCUGAUCUCAUCGACCGAGCCCGGUAUUCCUGUGAGGACCAGAUUGGUAUGCGAAAGGGUUGGGGGUUCGAUACUCCCUGACCUCGCUUGCUGGUCGGGGGCCAAACUUCCGAUCUGGCCAGGAUGGCCGAUUGGGUCUGCGCGAAGCGUAAUGCUACCAAACGAGAGAACCUAUCCGGAGACAAAGACGUCACCAUUACUGAUUCUGUCUCUAACCAUUAGGUGAGCCAUCGAACCUUUCGGCGUUCCUGAAGUGUAAAUCUCAAUGAAAGCACCAAUGUCAGUGUCUAAACCGCCACAUAUCGGGUAGGGUGUCCCGUACUGUGGACCUUCGAUCGAUGGGUUGCAGGAAGACGGGGGAGACAGUAGUUUACCCUGGUUCGGGACUUCCUAUGGAGGUAAUAACCUACGUCCUGCUUGAUUAUAUUGAUGAAGAUGAUUAUAUAGUGGAUCUACCUCGAUAUCGUAUAUGCUAAACCUUAGAUGAUUCAGCCACCUCUAUACGGAUAAGAGUCCCUGAUUUAUAUAAACACCAAGGUCCCUAGGGUUUACAAGUUACCAAGUAUAAUCGGGGAUAGAUGAGCCGACAUAUUCUUCCUAAGCUUGAAGUACACGCCAAUCUUCGGGAUAUUCUAUCCAGAGUAGAGGUCGUCAUGACAGCCGGUCUUCUUCAGCACGGCCCAAUGGGCAAACCCAGUAUUGACUAACCGGCCGCCCGAGGACCCGAGAAUCCUGGACUCCCUCACAAGGGCAAUUUAAAAAGGAAAAUGAAGCCUCGGAGGGAGAACAAAAGCGCACCAUGAUUAAAACACUUCAGCCAUGAAGUACUUAAAACAAAAUCUCCCUACAAUUGUUUUUAUACCCCCACGGGGCCAAUUGGUUCGCUGUGCAACAUGAUAGAAGAAAAAGCGAUAAUAGCUUAGGAGGAGGAGGCGGUGUCGUUCUCAUCAUUGUCGCUCAUGAGGCCCCCUCCAGGGCUUCCUCCCUCCUCGAAGGGCUCGACAUGCAUGAACUACUUGAUCAGAGAGUCCACGUGCUCGCAUUCUUCAUCCUUGAGAAGGCCGUGGGGCUCUACAGGCACCAGCUCUACCACGAGGGAAAAGUCAAAGGUAGGGUCGUGGCGGCAAAGGUUAGAGAAGUCGUGUGUCGCCACAUAGUCCAGGAGGUCUCGGGAACCGCCAUCGAUGGCCUCGUCCACCUUGGAGACACCCGACACCAGCACCUCCACAUCUUUCAUGAAGAAGUCGAGGUAGCCACCAUUGGAGUGCGCGAGGGGCAGUGUCGGGAUGUCCUCAAUGAAACGGUCAAGUGCGCCACUAGCGCGCAUGACGAGCACCAAGAAGAACUUCGUAGGCCAUGCCUGCAUCACUCGCACAUGCGCCUCGUUGUCUCGGGCCCUCCGCAUGGCUUCAGUGACCUCACCAACCUGCGCCUAGAGCAGCACGAGCUCUGCCUCCACAUCCCAUUUGCCCUCAAGGCUGGUCUGGAGGUCUACCUCACCAUCCUAGACCUAGGCCUUGAGCUCAUGAGCCUCCUCCUAGAGCUCAUCGCGCUUGAGCUCGAAGCUGGUCUCCUCCAGCACCACCCUACCGUGGUACUCCUCUCAAGCAGCCUCCCGCUCCCUAGUGACCCUCGCGUCAGCCUCAACAUUGGUCAUGGUGCGCGCGGCCUCAAGGUCAGCUCCGUCGCAGAGAACCCGUCCUUCCAUGGUAAAGAGACACCCGCUCUCUGCCUCUUGGUCGAAGGCGGUCUGGGCGGCCUCCCGCUCCAGAAGGACUAUGUUGGCCUCUCAGCCAAUGAGGUCCUCUUCCUUUGGGGCCAGCUCUCCCUCGCACAUGAUGCACUACUGCUCGCACACGGUGGCCGCAUCCUCGCGGACUUGGAGCUCCCGCACGCAGAGGGCGACCAGCUCCUCUGCCCGGUAGGAUCGUGAUUCGGCCUCCCAGCGCUGGGUGCUCUCCGCUCGGAGGUUGGCCUCGAGCGCAUCAAGUGUGUCAUGCAUGCUUGGGGGAGCUCCGCAGGCGGCUGAGCCUCCCGCGGGGUCUUCUCCCUCCACAUGCCCCUUGUUGGUGGUCGGGGUAGCGCUGUGAGCCGCGAGCUGGGGGCUCACCGCCGCCCUCUGGUCGUCGCCUUUAGCACCAGUCUCCUCCAGGGUCGGGCGGUCAUGCGGCAUGAGUGCCUCCCCAGAAAGUCGCACCGGCGAGGGCGCCACGGAAAUGGAGGCCCUUUGACUCUUGCGUGCGGGCCCCUUGAAGGGCCAGCUAUUCAAUCCAUCAUACUCAUCAACGGCGAGCAAAAAUGGGUAAGAAAAUUGGCGAACUUACUCAUCGAUGGUCGCCUAGUGCCUCUGCGUUGGCAAGGACCGUAGGCGCUGGCUGCCGCCACUUCCAGGGGAGGACGACAACACCGUAGGAUCCUCCUGUGCCUCGACGAUGGUGGCGCUCCUCUUUGGCACCAUGGCAUUGGAAACCGCG